CCGAGUUUACAACUCCCAAACCCCUGUGAACAUACCACUUGUUGCCUCGGCGGAUCAGCCCGCUCCCGGUAAAACGGGACGGCCCGCCAGAGGACCCCUAAACUCUGUUUCUAUAUGUAACUUCUGAGUAAAACCAUAAAUAAGUCA
Molecule: unclassified non-coding RNA, 147 nt
Filed under: soil metagenome
Description: partial internal transcribed spacer 1
Source: RNAcentral